AGUAAAAUCAGUUAAAAAAGCUAUUGGGCCCAUGCCCCAAAAAUGAUGGUACAACCCCUCUUUUACUA
This 68-nucleotide transfer RNA is filed under the name Batrachomoeus trispinosus (three-spined frogfish). RNAcentral describes it as "tRNA-Met". Lineage: Eukaryota; Metazoa; Chordata; Actinopteri; Batrachoidiformes; Batrachoididae. The record is from RNAcentral.